This 496-nucleotide ribosomal RNA is filed under the name uncultured bacterium. RNAcentral describes it as "partial 16S ribosomal RNA". It matches the Rfam family "Bacterial small subunit ribosomal RNA", at positions 28 to 507 of the family's 1533-position model. The record is from RNAcentral.
GAUGAACGCUGGCGGCGUGCCUAAUACAUGCAAGUCGAGCGAACGGACGAGAAGCUUGCUUCUCUGAUGUUAGCGGCGGACGGGUGAGUAACACGUGGAUAACCUACCUAUAAGACUGGGAUAACUUCGGGAAACCGGAGCUAAUACCGGAUAAUAUUUUGAACCGCAUGGUUCAAAAGUGAAAGACGGUCUUGCUGUCACUUAUAGAUGGAUCCGCGCUGCAUUAGCUAGUUGGUAAGGUAACGGCUUACCAAGGCAACGAUGCAUAGCCGACCUGAGAGGGGGGAGGGCCCCUGGGAAGGUGAAAGGCGGCCCGGGUCCCCAGGGGGGGCACAGAUGGGGAAUGGUCGCAAAUGGGGGAAAGCCUGCCGAAGGAACGCAGGGGGGGUGAAGAAGGGCCGCGGGCGGGAAAACGUUUUUAGUGGGGAAAAACAAUUUUGCAGGUAACGGUGCCCGAUUUACGGUAACCUAAAAAGAAGCCCCGGGUAACUACGUG